GUACUGAUAGCUCAGUGGUAGAGCAAUCGGCUACAGUUUCUUUAGGUAUUGAAGGAAAGCCUCUGGUUGGUCCUCCUUUCAAGUCUAGGUCAGUGCU
Xylaria arbuscula is the source of this 97-nucleotide non-coding RNA. NCBI's taxonomy places the organism in Eukaryota, Fungi, Ascomycota, Sordariomycetes, Xylariales, Xylariaceae. The record is from the annotation of a GenBank genome assembly.